ACUAUAUACACAUAUUGACUCUAAUAUUACUCUAGAAGAACUUACCCAAUAUUGGGUAGGUUACGCAAAUGAGCAAAGCACAAAGCGAACAUACACUAUUGUAGAGAAUAGUGGUGCAACCUACUGCUGCACUAACAGCACCCCUGAUACCUUUUGGUAUUUACUUUUAAAAAUUCAAAGGACAUGUUCUGUAGCCCCAUGUAGCCAAGCGCAGCUAAGCGGAAAAAGGCCUUGACAGGGGUUAGGAG
Non-coding RNA from Pelobates cultripes (western spadefoot toad), 248 nucleotides. The record is from the annotation of a GenBank genome assembly. Lineage: Eukaryota; Metazoa; Chordata; Amphibia; Anura; Pelobatidae.